RNAcentral lists this ribosomal RNA (414 nucleotides) under Ureibacillus acetophenoni. RNAcentral's name for it is "bacterial SSU rRNA". It matches the Rfam family "Bacterial small subunit ribosomal RNA", at positions 273 to 679 of the family's 1533-position model. The record is from RNAcentral. Lineage: Bacteria; Bacillati; Bacillota; Bacilli; Caryophanales; Caryophanaceae.
GCGACGAUGCGUAGCCGACCUGAGAGGGUGAUCGGCCACACUGGGACUGAGACACGGCCCAGACUCCUACGGGAGGCAGCAGUAGGGAAUCUUCCACAAUGGACGAAAGUCUGAUGGAGCAACGCCGCGUGAGUGAAGAAGGUUUUCGGAUCGUAAAACUCUGUUGUAAGGGAAGAACAAGUACAGUAGUAACUGGCUGUACCUUGACGGUACCUUAUUAGAAAGCCACGGCUAACUACGUGCCAGCAGCCGCGGUAAUACGUAGGUGGCAAGCGUUGUCCGGAAUUAUUGGGCGUAAAGCGCGCGCAGGCGGUCCUUUAAGUCUGAUGUGAAAGCCCUCGGCUCAACCGAGGAGGGUCAUUGGAAACUGGAGGACUUGAGUGCAGAAGAGGAAAGUGGAAUUCCAAGUGUAGC